RNAcentral lists this ribosomal RNA (497 nucleotides) under uncultured bacterium. RNAcentral's name for it is "partial 16S ribosomal RNA". It matches the Rfam family "Bacterial small subunit ribosomal RNA", at positions 28 to 507 of the family's 1533-position model. The record is from RNAcentral.
GAUGAACGCUGGCGGCGUGCCUAAUACAUGCAAGUCGAGCGAACAGACGAGGAGCUUGCUCCUCUGACGUUAGCGGCGGACGGUUUAGUAACACGUGGAUAACCUACCUAUAAGACUGGGAUAACUUCGGGAAACCGGAGCUAAUACCGGAUAAUAUAUUGAACCGCAUGGUUCAAUAGUGAAAGACGGUUUUGCUGUCACUUAUAGAUGGAUCCGCGCCGCAUUAGCUAGUUGGUAAGGUAACGGCUUACCAAGGCGACGAUGCGUAGCCGACCUGAGAGGGUGAUCGGACACACUGGAACUGAGACACGGUCCAGACUCCUACGGGAGGCAGCAGUAGGGAAUCUUCCGCAAUGGGCGAAAGCCUGACGGAGCAAAGCCGCGUGAGUGAUGAAGGUCUUCGGAUCGUAAAACUCUGUUAUUAGGGAAGAACAAAUGUGUAAGUAACUAUGCACGUCUUGACGGUACCUAAUCAGAAAGCCACGGCUAACUACGUG